UACACUCCUACGGGAGGCAGCAGUGGGGAAUUUUGGACAAUGGGCGAAAGCCUGAUCCAGCAAUGCCGCGUGAGUGAAGAAGGCCUUCGGGUUGUAAAGCUCUUUUGUCAGGGAAGAAACGGUGAAAGCUAAUAUCUUUUGCUAAUGACGGUACCUGAAGAAUAAGCACCGGCUAACUACGUGCCAGCAGCCGCGGUAAUACGUAGGGUGCAAGCGUUAAUCGGAAUUACUGGGCGUAAAGCGUGCGCAGGCGGUUUUGUAAGUCUGAUGUGAAAUCCCCGGGCUCAACCUGGGAAUUGCAUUGGAGACUGCAAGGCUAGAAUCUGGCAGAGGGGGGUAGAAUUCCACGUGUAGCAGUGAAAUGCGUAGAUAUGUGGAGGAACACCGAUGGCGAAGGCAGCCCCCUGGGUCAAGAUUGACGCUCAUGCACGAAAGCGUGGGGAGCAAACAGGAUUAGAUACCCCGGUAGUCCCAUGAU
RNAcentral lists this ribosomal RNA (478 nucleotides) under uncultured organism. RNAcentral's name for it is "partial 16S ribosomal RNA". It matches the Rfam family "Bacterial small subunit ribosomal RNA", at positions 332 to 801 of the family's 1533-position model. The record is from RNAcentral.